Molecule: non-coding RNA, 46 nt
Filed under: unclassified sequences
Description: SAM-SAH-Weickhmann-2018 RNA
Rfam family: SAM/SAH riboswitch aptamer
Source: RNAcentral
CCGUCACAACGGCUUCCUGGCGUGGCGGGACAACCCCAAUGGAGCA